RNAcentral lists this ribosomal RNA (536 nucleotides) under Escherichia coli. RNAcentral's name for it is "bacterial SSU rRNA". It matches the Rfam family "Bacterial small subunit ribosomal RNA", at positions 997 to 1533 of the family's 1533-position model. RNAcentral also lists the same sequence under 4 other names. Lineage: Bacteria; Pseudomonadati; Pseudomonadota; Gammaproteobacteria; Enterobacterales; Enterobacteriaceae. The record is from RNAcentral.
UUUUCAGAGAUGAGAAUGUGCCUUCGGGAACCGUGAGACAGGUGCUGCAUGGCUGUCGUCAGCUCGUGUUGUGAAAUGUUGGGUUAAGUCCCGCAACGAGCGCAACCCUUAUCCUUUGUUGCCAGCGGUCCGGCCGGGAACUCAAAGGAGACUGCCAGUGAUAAACUGGAGGAAGGUGGGGAUGACGUCAAGUCAUCAUGGCCCUUACGACCAGGGCUACACACGUGCUACAAUGGCGCAUACAAAGAGAAGCGACCUCGCGAGAGCAAGCGGACCUCAUAAAGUGCGUCGUAGUCCGGAUUGGAGUCUGCAACUCGACUCCAUGAAGUCGGAAUCGCUAGUAAUCGUGGAUCAGAAUGCCACGGUGAAUACGUUCCCGGGCCUUGUACACACCGCCCGUCACACCAUGGGAGUGGGUUGCAAAAGAAGUAGGUAGCUUAACCUUCGGGAGGGCGCUUACCACUUUGUGAUUCAUGACUGGGGUGAAGUCGUAACAAGGUAACCGUAGGGGAACCUGCGGUUGGAUCACCUCCUUA